Molecule: ribosomal RNA, 2850 nt
Filed under: Candidatus Parcubacteria bacterium
Lineage: Bacteria; Candidatus Parcubacteria
Description: 23S ribosomal RNA
Rfam family: Bacterial large subunit ribosomal RNA
Source: RNAcentral
GAUGGUGGAUGCCUCGGAAGUUGGGAAAUGAGGGCGUGGCGUAGCUGCGAUAAGCUGGGGGGAGGUGCGUAGCAACCUUUGAUCCCCAGAUUCCCUCUUAACCCGGGGAAGUGAAACAUCUCAGUACCCGGAGGAAAAGAAACCAAAAGGCAUUCCCUGAGUAGUGGCGAGCGAAAGGGGAGGAGCCCAAAUCCCAUCCCCCAGAUAUACGUCUGGGGAAUGGGAGGUUGUGGGGGUAAGACGGAGGAGGAAAGCUCCUCAGGGAGUUACAAAUCCUUUCUCUAGCCGAAGGAUCCUGGAACGGGCCGCCAUAGAGGGUGAAAGCCCCGUAGGCGAAAGGGAAAGACUCCCGGGUCUUACUUCCCGAGUACCUCGAGGCCAAGAAAACCUUGAGGGAAGCAGGGAAGACUAAUUUCCCAAGGCUAAAUAUCCCAACUUUACCGAUAGUGGACUAGUACCGCGAGGGAACGGUGAAAAGUAGGGAGGUGAUCCCGGUGAAAUAGAACCUGAAACCAUCCACUUACAAGGAGUCGGAGUCCCCCAGAUGUAUAUCUGGGGGAUGACGGCGUACCUAUUGGAGCAGGAUCCUACGAGUUUUCGUCUUUCCCAAGUCUAAGGGCUUAUGGCCCGGAGGCAAAGUGAAAGCGAGCGUGAAAUAGCGCGCGAGGGAAAGGCGAAAGACCCGAAGCCAGUCGAUCUAUCCCUGGGCAGGGUGAAGGUGGUGGAUAACACUGCUGGAGGCCCGAACCGGUGAGUUGUGCAAAACUCUCGGAUGACCUGGGGAUAGGGGUGAAAGGCCUAUCUAGGCUGGAAAUAGCUGGUUCUCCCCGAAAUAGCUUUAGGGCUAGCCUCAGGCGUUUCCUUGGUACGGUAGAGCACUGGAAGAGAUAGCUUACCUUUUUGGUGGCUAUCUCUACCAAACUCCGAAUGUAUCAAGGUAAGAGCCUGGGAGUCAGAGGGUGGGGGAGAAGCUCCAUUCUCGCGAGGGGAACAACCCAGACCCCAAGCUAAGGCCCCGAAAUCCGGGCUAAGUGCUAAAUUAAGGAAGUAGAAUUCCUCAGACAACCGGAAGGUGAGCUCAGAAGCAGCUAUCCUUUAAAAAGUGCGUAACAGCUUACCGGUCGAGGAAUUCUGCGCCGAAGAUUUAUAGGGGCUCAAGCCCGGUGCCGAAGCUGGGGUCCCCCAGAUAUACAUCUGGGGGGAGGUAGGGGAGCGUUCCCACCGGGCUGAAGGCAAAAAGUGAUUUUUGCUGGACUGGUGGGAAGUGAGAAUGUAGGAAUGAGUAACCGCAACCUGGGUGAAAGCCCCAGGGGCCGAAAGCCUAAGGUUUCCGUGGCAAUGGUUGUCAUCCACGGGUUAGGCGAUCCUAAGGCUAAGCCUUACAGGCGAAGCCAAAGGGUAGUGGGUUAAUAUUCCCACCCUACCUAGGAAUUCUGAAGGGUGCGAAGGAGAGUAGUCGGGAGGGGUUGCUAGGCUUGUCCUUCAGCCCAAUUUUGGGGGUUCCCGAUGAAUCUCUUUCCUAGAAAAGCCCGUAGGGUUAAUUCCUAGGUAAUCGUACCGCAAACCGACACAGGUGGGCUGCUAGAGUAUAGCCAAGGCCAACGGGUGAAAGCUGGGGAAGGAACUAGGCAAAAAAGCUACCCGUAAGCUCUGCGAGAUGGGUUUCCCCUCAGAGAUCCAUCUGGGGGGACGCAGCAAAAGUGUUCCGGGCGACUGUUUAACAAAAACACAGGUCCCUGCUACAAAGCGAAAGCUGAUGUAUAGGGGCUGAGGCCUGACCAGUGCCCGUGUGUUAUGGCUGGGGAUUUCUGGGGUUUUCCUGGAAGUCUACUAGCUUAAGCCACGGGUGAACGUCCGGGGUAACUCUGACCCUGCUAAGGUAGCGUAAUCCCUUGUCGGGUAAGUUCCGGCCCGCAUGAAAGGCUUUACGACUUGGAAACUGUCUCCCCCAGCUACCCGGUGAAAAUACAAUAAGCGUGAACAUGCGCUUUAGCCGCGGCUAGACGGAAAGACCCCGGCAGCUUUACUGUAAGGUGGUACUGACUUGUGAUUUCUGGUGCAUAGCGUAGCGGGGAGGCGAUGAAGCCGGGUCUCCGGGCUCGGUGGAGCCGAAAGUGGAACACCCGCCAUUGGAAAUUACAAUUCUUAUCUAAGCAAAGCCUGCAAGUUCUUUUUAAAAGAACGGGCGGGUUUUGCUGGAGAAAGUGCCACCUGGGCAGUUUAGAUGGGGCAUUUACCUCCUAAAAAGUAACGGAGGUGUGCAUAAGGUCGGCUUAGGGUGGAUGGAAAUCACCCUGAAAGUGCAAGGGCGAAAGCCGGCUUGACUGCGAUCGGGACACCGAGAGCAGAGGGGAAACCCGGCCCUAGUGAACCGACCCUUCUUCAUAGGAAGGGGGGAGAUCAUCGACCAAAAGUUACGCCGGGGAUAACAGACUGGUAGGGCCCGCGAGUUCACAUCUACGGCCCUGUUCGGCACCUCGAUGUCGGCUCGUCUCAUCCUGGGGGUGGAGAAGCUCCCAAGGGUUGGGCUGUUCGCCCAUUAAAGAGAUUCGUGAGUUGGGUUCAGUACGUCGUGAGACAGUACGGUCCCUAUCUACCGCGGCCGUUCGGGACCUUGAGGGGUGUGUGGGGUAGUACGAGAGGACCCUCCGCAACCGACCUCUGGUAUACCAGUUGUCCUGCCUAAGGGCACAGCUGGGUAGCUAUGUCGGGAAGGGAUAAGGGCUGAAAGCAUCUAAGCCCGAAGCCCACCCCAAGAUUAGGGUCCCCAAUUACCCCGCUCAGAGACUAUGAGCUUGAUAGGGCGCACCUGUAAGUCCCGUGAGGGAUUGAGGGGAGCGCUACUAACGG